GACGAACGCUGGCGGCGUGCCUAAUACAUGCAAGUAGAACGCACAGUUUAUACCGUAGCUUGCUACACCAUAGACUGUGAGUUGCGAACGGGUGAGUAACGCGUAGGUAACCUGCCUGGUAGCGGGGGAUAACUAUUGGAAACGAUAGCUAAUACCGCAUAAUAUUAAUUAUUGCAUGAUAAUUAAUUGAAAGGUGCAAUUGCACCACUACCAGAUGGACCUGCGUUGUAUUAGCUAGUAGGUGAGGUAACGGCUCACCUAGGCGGCGAUACAUAGCCGACCUGGGAGGGUGAUCGGCCACACUGGGACUGAGACACGGCCCAGACUCCUACGGGAAGCAGCAGUAGGGAAUCUUGGGCAAUGGACGAAAGUCUGACCGAGCAACGCCGCGUGAGUGAAGAAGGUUGUCGGAUCGUAAAGCUCUGUUGUAAGAGAAGAACGGGUGUGAGAGUGGAAAGUUCACACUGUGACGGUAUCUUACCAGAAAGGGACGGCUAACUACGUG
RNAcentral lists this ribosomal RNA (505 nucleotides) under uncultured bacterium. Its description in RNAcentral is "partial 16S ribosomal RNA". It matches the Rfam family "Bacterial small subunit ribosomal RNA", at positions 28 to 507 of the family's 1533-position model. The record is from RNAcentral.